RNAcentral lists this ribosomal RNA (253 nucleotides) under uncultured bacterium. Its description in RNAcentral is "partial 16S ribosomal RNA". It matches the Rfam family "Bacterial small subunit ribosomal RNA", at positions 524 to 776 of the family's 1533-position model. The record is from RNAcentral.
UACGGAGGGGGUUAGCGUUGUUCGGAAUGUCUGGGCGUAAAGCGCGCGUAGGCGGAUCAUCAAGUCGGGGGUGAAAUCCCGGGGCUCAACCCCGGAAUGGCCUUCGAGACUGGUGGUCUUGAGUUCGAGAGAGGUGAGUGGAAUUCCGAGUGUAGAGGUGAAAUUCGUAGAUAUUCGGAGGAACACCAGUGGCGAAGGCGGCUCACUGGCUCGACACUGACGCUGAGGUGCGAAAGCGUGGGGAGCAAACAGG